This 15072-nucleotide long non-coding RNA is filed under the name Vitis vinifera (wine grape). RNAcentral describes it as "long non-coding RNA (VVIN_LNC003608)". The record is from RNAcentral. Lineage: Eukaryota; Viridiplantae; Streptophyta; Magnoliopsida; Vitales; Vitaceae.
UAUGAUAAUGUGAUAUUAGGCUUAGGCUCAAAUCGGCCAGAUGCAAGUAAUGGGAUCUUGAUUUGAAGGUAAAUUCUAAGGAACAAUCAAUGCAUACAAAUGAAUUUUAUGCACAUGUCAUACCCUACUGCAUUUUAUAUUACAUAUUAAACUAUGAAUCUACCAUAUGUUUACAAAUAUUGAAUGUGUCAUACAAUUUAUGUAUGACAUAAUUAUAAUGGUCAUACUUCAUACCAUAUAUAUGUUUUGUGCUGUAAAUAAAUGUUUUAAAAAAAAUUAUAUUUUAUUAUUAUAAUUAUCAAUUUUUAAACGAAUUUCAUUUGGUUUUUAAUAGUUGGAAGAUUAUAUUUUUUUUAUUAAGAUAUUAAAAUUAUAGAUAAGACCUGAUAUUUUAUCUUCUGUACUAAAUAUAAUUGUAACAUGUUUUAUAUAUUCAACUACAAAUAUGUCUUGUGGGUCUAGGUUGGCCCAAUUAGCCCAGCGGACUAUAACGGGAUGAAGCCCAGAGUCUUUGGGCCCUGAAUAGGAGCUCAUUUUCAAAAACUUCAUGGGCUUUUGAAGAGCAGCUGGGCCCAAAACAUAUACUUUUGUCAUUGAAUUGCAUCGUAAUAUGUUUAUACUAUAUAUUAAACUACAAAUAUGUCAUGUGGGUCUAGGUUGGCCCAAUUAGCCCAGCGAACUAUAACGGGAUGAAGCCCACGGUCUUUGGGCCCUGAAUAGGGGCUCAUUUUCGAAAGCUUCAUAGGCUUUUGAAGAGUAGCUGGGCCCAAGACAUAUGCUUUUGUCAUUAAAUUGCAUUGGAACCUUUUUUUUUUUUCUUACUUAGAAAAUAAUAAUAAUUAUAUAUUCGGUUUUUCCCUUGUUUAAUUUGUGAAGAUUAGAAAAUAAUUAUAAAAAAUAAAAAAUAUCUUCACUUUAAAAAAUGAUACUCGACUGUGGCCCAAUUAAUAAGUUGACUUAUUCACGACCCUCCAAUUUUUCUAAUUAAAUGACCAAAUUUAGAAAAUAGUAUAAAAUGGGACUUACAUAUUACCCAAAUUAGAAUAAAAUAGUGUUGUUUAGAGAUAAAAAAAAAUAUAUUCACAUGUAACACAACCCAAAUAAUAAAAUUUGUAUUUGAUUAAAAAUGAUAAAAUAAUCUUGAUUUGAAAAAAUUAACUUGCAUUUUUUUUUAUUUAAGAAUGAAAUGCAAUAUUUUCCCUUUUUAAUCCUCCAUCAAUAUUUUUUGCACCUAUUUUUAUAAAACAAUAAAGGAUAUUUAUGGGAAAUUAAAUUACACUUACCAUAAAAGGUAGGUUAAGCAGAUGCUUGAUAUGAAUAAAAAAAAAAGAGUUAUUUUUAAUAAUGUUUAUAUAAUAAAAAUGUAAUUUUUGAAAGAAUCAUCUUGUGAAUCAUAUUAUUUAGGAAACUCUUUUAAUUAGCUUAAAUGAGAUCUUAGUUAAUGGCUCUUACUUUUUGAUAAUUUCAUCAUCAAUUUCGUAUCCUAUGAUAUUUUUUAAAAUAGAUUUAUCUUAAAUAGUAAUUAAAGAUGGGAAAAGUGUGGACAAAGUACAUUUAUCAAAUAAUUAAGUUUUUGAUCACUCAAUUUUUCUAUUGAGCUGAAAAUAUCCUUAAAAAAAAGAAGCGUGAUGUAGCUAACUUUAGGUUGAAGCCAAAUUUGGGUUGAUGCAAAUUAACUUAGAGUAGUUAGAAAAAACUCCAAUGCAAAUAUGUUAGUAUAAGAACACAAAGAUAAAGUAAUAUAUACAUAAAAAUAUAUGAAGUUUUAAUGUGGUUCGCAAUUAUAUCUACAUCUAUGGAUGAUAAAGAUUAUUCCACUAUAGUAUAGAAAAUAUUAUAAAUUAAAGAUAUCAGAUACAAUUAUAGGGUUUCGAAACAUCCCAUUGUUUCCCCUUCUUGUAUCUAUACCCUAAAACACCAACCAUCUUGAUCGACAAGGUUCAUUAUUCUUCACAUCUCUAUCUAUCACAAGGUCAUCUUAUCUCAUAACAACCCCACCCUUCCAACUUAGAAUAUUUAUAAAGUUAUUUCUAAUAAAUUUAUUAAGAAAUAUAAAAUAUUACAAUGACAUACAAAUAUAAGAAAUAUAUUUUAUACAAUAUUUUUUUUCGAAGGAAUAUAUACCAAUUAAAAAUUUGAGACACUUUUCAACAAUCUAUACCUUUGAUUAAAUUUCAUUAAGUCAAUAACUAUAUAAUACAUGCUUUCAAGAAACUUAUCUAAACCAAAUCCUUACUUCACACCAUGAUUUCUUUGCACAUCAUGCUCUCUUCAGGUAUUACCAUUAGUUUCAUGCACUAUGGUACUCUAGGGUGUCAUGAUCCUCUUAUGUGAUAUUCAUUUAAACCAUUUAGAUACUUCAUAGUUUCUAUUUUUUCAAGAUGUAACAAGUGUAUAGAAAAGUUAUUUUGAAUAAUGAAACUAUAUUCUUGUAUUACAUUAUGGUAUGAGAACAAUUAACUUUAUAUUCAACAAAAAAUUAUUUUUGAAUCCUAUUAUGUUCCAUUUUUUUUUUCAUUGACUCUUCUAGAAAUUUUUUAUGAAGACUCUAAUGUACUAUCGUGCAUGAUCGUCUUGUACACUAUAAUUCUCUCAUUUCUAGACCAUAACUUCAUUGCUUGAACUUCUCAAACAACAUCAUUUUUAUGUUUCAAGAUAUAUAUUUAGGUUUUUUUAAAGUAAUUAUUAAUAAAGGUCAACAUAUAUCUUUCACCAUCAUAUAAUGUAACUCGUAAGAGUCGGAUGAAUGUAAUCCAAAAAUACCUUUUGUUUAAUAAAUGACUACACUGAAUUUAAUACCACGUUAUUUCCUGAACAUAUAAUAGUCACAAAAAUUCAAUUCUCUUGCUUUCUAUUCACCAAGUAAAUUCCAUUUUCUCAAAAUCAUCAAUCAUCUCUAACUCCUUUGUCCAAGUAUAUGGUUCUUUAUAAAAUGAACAUAUACUAAAUAAGAAUUUAAGAGCUCUUCAAUGAAAACCUCAUUUUGCUAAUUAAAAAUAUUAAGAGUUGGUAAUGCAACUCCUAUACAAAAUAAUUCAAAAAAUAAAGCAACCGAUGAAAGAAAGAAAUUGAGGAGGUUUUGAAAACCAAAGCUACAUGGAGCCUAGGCCAAUGAGGAGAAUUUCAAGGCUCAUGAGUUACUAGAUCUAGCCUUAUCAUUAGAACUAGAUCUUAAUGUGAAAAUUCAAAGGCCAAACUUGUGAGCCACCAAAAUUAACCUAGGUUUCUAAACACUAUCAAAGAUGGCUUAGGCCAAUGAUAGAAUAAAAUAGCGGGAUUGAACUUGAUCCUUUCACCCCAUGUACAAAGAAAGAGCAAACUUUUCAUUAGGCUAAAUACCACAAUCUCCCUACUUCUUGGCCUCUGAAAUAAUUCUUUAAUUUAUUUUUGCCCCUAGGCCCAAUGAAAUGCUUGCAUUCUAAGCCUUCUUAACACAACUUUUGAAAUGAUCAUCAUUGAUUUUUAGACAUGGGGUUUUCAAAGCCAAAAAACAUAUUGAAGAAAAUAUAGGUAAAGCCCCUUUUGAUAAUUAAAUCUAGUCGAAGUAGGAGAGCCAAAACCUAAGCAUCUAAAGAAGGAUUUUGUGGUGGCCGGUGGAAUAGGUCAAUAGAGUGGUCGGUUAGCAAACUUUUAGAGUGGCCUCUUUCCCUUCUCCUUAGGAUUGUUAGGUUAUGUUGAGUCAAUCAAUUGAGGGGUUCACUAUUGGACUGUGGGAUUCCUAAUGGUUACCUUAACAAUUUUUAUUACAUAUAGUAACUAGUGAAUAGGUUGACUGAGCUGUCAACCGAUUCCUCCAAAUAAGGUAUUAAAAGAAUUUUUUUUUAAUUUUUAUAUAAGAUGUUCAAUUUUUAUAUAAAAAAUUUUAAUUUUAAAAAUAAAAAAAUAGAAAAUAUAUUCAAAUGUACACUUAAUUUAUGUUUGAGCUCCUACAUGCAUGCUUACAAACAAAAUCUACAUAACAAAUGGAAGGGACCCAAGCUAGGUUAUAUAUAUAUAUGAUCCAAUUAAUAAUCCAAACUUCCUUUGUCCAAGAAAAAUUCCUACAAAUUUGGAAUGCACUAAUGUCACGACAAAAGAAAAGGAAAAAGAAAAAAGAAAAGGUGUUCAUGAAAGAAAACCUAAUCCACUAAAAUUUUCAAAUCCCUUAUGAUUUCCAUGUCUGAACUUUGAACCAUAUCGUAGUGGGAAAAUCAAUAAUAAAUGAUAUGCUACAAAGGCACCUGAAAAGUGUAAAAGAGCAUUAGUUUGUCCAUGUAAAAUAAUAAUAAUAAUAAUAAAAUAAAAUAAAAUUCUUGGAGCCACAUAUUCCAUUGAUACAUGCAUAGGGUAUGUUCACAUAUGAAGGCAUCCUAGUUGUUUUACACUUGGGAGCAAGAACAUUCAUGAUGAGAAAACUAGUCUUGAGGAUAUAGUUAAUGUCCAUUACUAGAACAUGAGAAAAUGUGCAUGUGUUGUUGUAGUUAGUGUGAACCAAGAAAUAAGAACCCUAGAAAAGUGAGAGAAAAAGUGGGAAAGUGAAGAGAGAAAAGGAAUGUAUCAGUGAUCACCUUACCCACUUAGAGGACCUCAGUGGAGACACCUCAGUUUCCAAUAGGAGAUGUGUCAAUUUAUAGGGUCAACUUGAGCUGUUCUUUUGUUUGCCACCAGUCAUAUAAACCCUAGCUACCUUACCUUGCAUUCUAACAAACCAUUGGGGCCAUGGAGUUUUCCUUUGGUUUCUCCUCAACCUUGCAAAUUUCAAAUGAAAGUGAAAAGCGAUUCCCAUGUUGUCCACUUCUAAGUGAACUAAAUACUAAAGUUAUAGAAAUAACUAAAAAUUAGAAGAUGAGACACCUACUGCUUGUUUGGUAAUUAUUUUUUAAAACAAUUUUUUUUGUUUUUUCAAAAUAAGAAUAUAGGAAAACACUUCCUCUAACUAAAAAACAAAAAGUAGGAUGUUUCAAAAUCAUAUUUUUUUAGUUGUUUUUAGUUAUUUCUAUUUGUGUUUUGAAUAUUAUUUUUAAAAAUAAUUAUACAAAUAUGAAAAAUGAUUAAAAAUAAAGUACUACCUUUAAAAUUUACUUUAAAACAUAAAAAAAAAAAAGUUAAAAACAUUUUGAUCAUAUUUAGUUGGUUGAAUAUAACAUGAGAUAUGAUAAGAGAUGAGAUAUUAUAUCAGGAGAAUUCUCAUUAAGGGUGACCAAAAAGGGUCACCAUGUUUGCAAAUUCCUAUAAAGUCUUUUCAAAAGUUGACAAUUUUAGAAUUCCAAUGAUAUCAUUUUUUAUCUUUUGCCUUUUAUUCCUAUUUAAUUUUACCUUUUUAUUGUUUUUCUUUUAUACUUCUUUACACAUUAUUAUUAUUAUUAUUAUUAUUAUUAUUAAUUAUUAAUAUUAUUAUUUAUAAUAUCAAUAUUUUGAAUUAUUCAUGUUAUUUAUUAAUAUAAUUCAUAUUAAUAUUAUCUAUUUUUAUGAUUAUUAUUCAUAUUUUUAAUAUUAUAUUGAGAAUAAUAUAAUUAUAUUUUUAUUAUUACAACUAAAAAACCCUAAAAGAUAAUUUUUAUUUUUUUUAAUUCUUAAGGCAUGUAAGCUUUAUUAAAAAAUUAUUAUUAUUAUUAUUUUUGUUUUUAUGCUACAUUAGGACUAAUUGAAUUAUUAUAAUUAUUAUUAUUAUUAUCAUGAACACCUCAUUACUAUUAUUAUUUAUGAUAUUAGUUUUAUAUUAUUAAUUUUAUUAUUAAUAUUAUUAAUACAACUAAUUUUAUAACCAAAUUAUAGGUACUAAAAAAAUACAUUGAUUUUUCGAUAUUAAUAUUUUAAAUAUGUAAUACAUUAAGACAUAACUUAAUUUAAUUUUUAAUUUUUCUAAAACAAACACUUGUGAAUAGCAGCCUUAUAUUCCUUAAAAUUCUCUUUACUAUAAUUAGCCUUAGAAGACAUUUUUUUUUUAAAGUUUAUAAUUUUCAUUAUAAAAAUGAUUGAAAUUAAUAGUUAUAUUGCAAACUUAAACAUUUCAAAAUUUAUGAAAUCUAUAUAAUGAAAAAUAUAAUAACUUUAUAUUUUUAAUUAUUAAAAUGAAUUGAUAAUUUGUAAAAUUAUUAUGUUAUAUUAUUAUUAUUAUUAUGGAUAAGUUAUUUAUAAUAUCUUUAAAAUAAUAAUUAAAAGAAACAAUAAUUUAUAAUUAAUUAUUAUAUUAUUUGUAUUUAUUACUAUGAAUAUUAUUCUUAUUUAAUAGGUAUGAUACUUAUAUAUUGAACUUGAGGAUACUAAAAGUACAAUAUAUUACGACAUGUUUUAUUUUCAUUUUUUAACAAUUAUAAAAAAAAAUAUUGUUAUAAAAAUUGGGUUAAUCUAACAUAAGGUAAUCACUAUAGAGGAGGGUUGUAUAGAGUGAUGAUCUUUUUUUGCAAAUUUAAAUUAUAUGAAUGUAACAAACAAUUAUAUGUAAAUAUAUAAUAAAAUAAUAUAAAGACAAUUGCAUAUAAAGUAAAAGAGUAGGGAAAAGAGAAUGCAAACACAAUAUUUUUAUAGUGAUUCAAUGCAACCUGACCUACGUCCACUCUCCUCUAACUUCAAUCUCAAGCUUCAGGUUUCAUUAUUUCAAGACUUCCAAACCAAACCUUCAAGUAAUAAAAUUGGAUUAUGAUUCCAAUCUACUCUCUUGGAUUUUUGGCUCAAAACACCUUUUACAAUCCUUAAGAGAUAUCUCACUCUUAAACAAUCUCUCAAGUGAUACCCCAUACUUGAGUAUCCCUAAGUGAUACUUCACACUUAAAUUAUUCCUUUCAAAGAUUUAUAAAAGAUAAGAAAUAAUAUCACAAAAUCAUAGUACAAAACUUUAGGUUCAAAUAUACAAGAAAAAUUAGGAUUGAAAGGUGCACUAAUAAUAUUCAAGUUUUAGAACAAUGAUGUACUAAAAGACAAUUUCUCAAGGCUCAAAUAUAUUCAAGAAAUGUUUAGGAAGGUUAAACUCUUGAAACAAUGAAGAUUAAGUCUUUCUUAUAGAGGAAAACAAUCAAACUAGCCAUCGAGGGUUUGACCAGUUGACUAGCCAUUAGCAUUUAAUACUAGACAGAUGACCAUUGGACCUCGACCGUCCCUUGAUCGGACCUCGACCGAUUGAGGUCAAGCUCAAUCUGUUGAGGUUCAACCUUGAUCGGUUGAAUAGACAUUAUGGAAAGAGAAAAGAUUUUUGCACCAUUCGACUAGUUGAGCUGAAUAGAUCGACCGAUUCCUCAUCCGAUUCAACCGGUUGAGCUUUUUUUGGCUCAACAACUAUCAUUGUCAACUUAAAACCUUUUUAAACAAGCUUGGAAAACAUUUGACACAAGAUUUUAGUUGAAAACAUGAAAUCAUCCAAUUUUAAAGGAUUUAAAACAAAAUUACUUUUUCAUGAUUUGGUACAUAAAUUAAUAAUGUAAUACAUGAAAGACCUAGUGCACCUACAAACAUUACAAAGAGAUCCUAUAAAGUUUAGGUGUUGAAAAACAUUUCUCUUUGAGGUCUUCUUCUUAUUGAUUUCUCUUUAACUUGAUUUUAUCUUUGUGAUUGCUAUUUUGAAAAUUUUCUUACCUAAUCACACUUGAAAUAUAAUGAUUAAUUCCAAACCUUGUUUUGUUAUCAUUAAAACCGAGAUUAAUCAAACCUUGGUCACAAAUAUUAUAAUAUUUUCUUAAUAAUUAUAUUAUAAGGUUAAACAAUAAUUUGUAAAAUAAUUAUAUUAUAUAUUAUUAUUAUUAUUUUGGAUAAGUUAUUUUAUAAUGUUUUUAAAAUAAUAAUAAAUGAAAAAAUAAUUUAUAAAUAAUUUUUUAUAUUGUUUGUAUAUAUUAAUAUUAUUCUUAUUUGAUAUGUUAAUAAUAAUAAUAAUAAUAAUAAUAUAUUACUAUAUGCCUUAAACAACUCAAAGUUAUAAAAACAAAUUUUUAUUAUAAUAUUUUUUAAAUAAUUAUAUUGUAAAUUAAACAACUCAAAAUUUUUGAAGUCUUAUUUAAGAAAAAGAUAAAAAUAAAAUAAAAUAUUUAUUCUAAUAUUUUCUUAUGAAAUCUUCUUAAUAAAAAAUAUAAUAAAUUUAUUUUUUUAAUUAUUAGAAUGAAAUAAUAAUUUUUAAGAUUAUAUUAUUAUUAUUAUUCUGAAUAAGUUAUUUAUAAUAUCUUUAAAAUAAUAAUAACUAGAAAAGAAAAAGAUAAAAUGAAGAAAAAACAAAAUAGUGAAAAUAAAAAGUAGGGAUAUGUUUGACUUUAAAGUGAAAGUUAUAAGGGUAUAUUUGAGUUUUUAUAUUUUGAGGCCAUUAAAAGAAUUAUCAAAGUUGAUGACCCUAUUGGGUCAUUAUCACUCAUAGCUCACCCUAUACCAUAAUUCUCCCUAUUAUAUUCUAUCUCAUGUUUAGUUGGUAAUGAGGUAUGAUAAAUUAUCUUAUCAUUUAUCAUAUCAUAUGUUCAACCAAAUAUGAAAUAUAAUAAGUAGUGAAAUCUAUUAUCCAGUUUUUAUUUUUAUUUUUUAUUUUUUUUUAUUUCUAUCACUUCUAAAUGACAUAUGCUAAUCUUAUGCUAGGAUAUGAGAUAUGCACAUUCCAUAUAUCAUAAUUUAUUUAUUUUUAUCAAUUUUUUUAAUAUAUUCAUUUUACAAAAUAAUUUUUUUAUUAUAAAUUAAAUUUAUGGUUAAAAAAACUAAAAUAAUAUUAAUAUAUGAUAUAUAAUUUUUUUAUUAAAUAACAUAAUAUAAAAAAAUGUAUUUAUAAAGUUUAAAUAUUUUAAUUAUGAAUAUUGUUAAUAUAUAGAGUUUGUUUUUCGAUAAAAAGUAUUGGAAUGUAAUAUAAUUUUUAUUUUAGAAUAUAACAGUUAAAUAGUUAAUAUUUAAUAUAUGGGAGAGAUAAUUCAAUCAUAUAUAUAUGAUUAUUUUUAUGAUCAUACAUCAUUAUUAUUUUUAUGAUAGAAUUGUUUCCACAUUUUAUUUAUUUAUUUAUUUAUUUAUUUAUUUAUUUAUUAUUAUUAAUUUUCAAUUAAAAUAGUGCAAUGGUGCGCAAUUGCACUAUUGCAUGAGUAGAAUAUCUUUAUUUUCUUGAACUUUUAUUUAAAAUUAAACAUUUUAACAUAUAUUACCAACAUACAAUUAGAAUCUCAUCUUCAUUUUGGUCCAUAUGCUAAAAAGCCUUCAUGAAGAUAGAGAUCUUGGUUUAAUAUUUUUGUCUAAUAGCAAAAGGAGAAGUAAAAAUAAUUGCUAUUAUUGUUUUAUUGAAUUUUAUGUUUAAAAUACUUUAUUAAAAAUAAAAAUAAUUGUAAUAUUUUUUAAAAAAAAUUAACUAAAUAAAAUUUGGUUCUCACAUAUUUGACUUUCUUGGUCUAUCCAGCCUACCAUAUGGGAUUUUUUUAUUUUUUAUUUUCUAGAUUUAAGCUCCAUCCCCACAUUGGAAAUAUUCAAAAAAGAAAGGGAAUAAAAAUAAAAUAAAAUAUCAGUUUUGUGAAGAUUUUCAAAAAUAAUUAUCAAAAUGAAAACAGGUUUUUUAUUUUUAUUUUUUAUUUUAUAGAACAAACAUUUCUAAAACUUUGGAAUAUUUCUAAUCUAUUUUCUACAUUUUCUAUUUUUUAAAAAACAAUUUUUAGUUAUUAUAUUUUAUUUUUAAUCAUUCCCUGUAUUUAUAAAUUUCUUUUUGAAAACAAAACAAUAAAAUGUGGAAGUGUUUGCCAGUAUUUUUUAAAACAAAACAAGAAAAGUCUUUAAGCUUCCAAAUGAGCUGAGUCCAUGAAAUUUUGAAUUCAAAAACUGUUUCAAUAUUUAAAAUGUGUUAAGUAUUUUUAUUUACAAUACGUUUGAAAGUAUUUAUAUUCGAAGUAUUUUUAGUGAAAAUGGUUUUAGAAGAAUCACAUGCGUUUAACAAUAAUUUUAAAAAGUGUUUUUAUCAUUUUUAAUACUUGAAAGAUAAAAAAUUUCAAGUAUUAAAAUAUUAAAAUAUUUUCUAAAAUCAUUAUCAAACAAAUAUUUCUUUUAAAAAAAUAAAAUUAUUAUAAGUGAUUAUUUAGCACUAUAAGUGAUUUUUAAAUUUUUUAAAAACAUUUAUUAAAUUUUGUCAAACCCUUAGUAUUUUUUCAAAAACUCUUUUUAAAUUAAAAAUAUUUUUAAAAUCAUUGUCCAACAUACUCUUAUAUUUUGGGUGAAACCUAACUUCUGUUAAAGGGUAUUUAGUUCACUUAAUAAUAAUUUCUUCUCUAAUUCUAAUCCAAAAGUCUCUCUCGCUAGCAUUAUGUUCCUGUGGUAGGUCUAUGAAAUUAAUGAAUUCAAAUCCAAGUGAUGCCAAUUUUAUUAGAUGGGGUUUGUAGAUCAUUGGGAUUUGUAGAUCAUUAAUCCGUAUCCCAACAAUGGAAGUAAUGGUCAACAACCUUGCCUAGUUGGACCAGGCAACAAAAACUGUUUUUCGCUAAAAAAAAUAAAUGUUUACACAUGUAUAAACUACAACAUUUUCCUAUUAUAAAUAGUCUACAAGUUAUGAGAACAAAUCCAACAUAUUUUACAUGGCAAAAUAUAAGAUUUAGGAUGUUUUCCCCUCUGUAUUUGGCUUUUCCUCACUUUUUCUAUCUUGGAUGGAAGUUCAUUCUUAUUUACGGUAGGGAUUGUCUAUGUUCUAAAUUUAUUGUUAAGUGUCUUGUUGCAAACUAUUUAUUUAAUUUUUUUUAAUGUGAAUAUUUAUUAUGAUGAAUUUUGGAAAUACAACUUAUUCUCUUUUAAAUUUCUUUGUAAUCCAAAUCAUGUAACAUAGCUAAUUUUCAUUAAAAAAAAUCAUAUAAUAAUUAGUUGGUAUGAAAUAGAAGUGCAACUUGGACGGGUUGAAUCGUCUGAUGUUUGGGCAGAUUUGGAUAAACAUUUUCAAUAUUCGGAUUAAGUUUGAAUUAAUUUUUCUCAACCCGGUCUCAAUUUGAGUUGGGUUUAGAUCAAGGUUCAAACUUAUUUUUAAGCAAAUUCUCAAAAUCAUUAUAACAUCAAUAUAAGUUUCAAAUGAUUUCAACAAAUAAAUUUAGGAUGAAUACAACAUUUAUUAGUAUUAUUAAUCUAAUAAAAUACAAAUAUUAAUGCAGUGAUAUGACAUGAUUCUAUCAUCGAGGGGACGGAUAUCUCUAAUUUACAUUUAAGUGAAAUAAAGAGAAAAUAUAUAUUAAAAAGAACCAUAAAAUUAAAUUCAUACUUAACCAAUCUUAAUUUCUUCCACUAAUCUCAUUCAAUUUCUUUACUUCUUAUAUUAUUACUAUUAACAAAGCCAUAUUAGUUAUGCAAUCUAGGGUUUCACUAUCUCCUACAUAUACAACAUUAAUGCAAGCCAGGCUACACAUCUCACCAUCAUCAUUAACACCAUGUUUAAUGACCAAGACCAUUAAGAAAACCACCUAAUCUCCUCUUAAGUCACAAGUAGCUUAAUUCAAACUCAGUGUAGUUUUUACAUGAAGAAGGAUGUUAGUUCACACGCAACCCAUAAUGGCAGGAUUGAAAACAACACAACAAAGGGGUCAUAGCCUUUUGAAUUAAUCUAGGCUACUAAUGAUAAUGACAGACUUGGUGGGCAUGGCUUAUAGCCUUCAAGGUAGUGCAGAUCUGAAAAUUUAUUGGCUUAAACCCUGACUAGUGGAGAUGGUGUUGGGCCCUUGGGCAUUUAUUACGUCUGAAAUUGCCUAAUCCUUGAGCUUUGAAACCUGGCUUAAGUUCUCUCAACUUUGGUACAAAGCAUCAAAUCAGGAGAUGGGUAUGGUGAUGUGUGGGAGUUUCAUGUGGAAGUGAAACAUUAUCUCAAGGGAGUUAGCACUAUGUUUGCCUAGAAUGGAGAAUUACUUAGUGAUGAUGGUAAACACCGUAUAUGUAUAUGUGUAUAUAUAUAUAAAAGCAAACAUUUAUUCAUGGUUGAAAUUUGGGGUGCAAUUCUCUUUAUUUUUCCAAGCCAUAAUUAAAGUUUGUCCAACCUCUAACCAAACCAAUGGUACUUGGCUUUAAAUUAUUGUGUCACAUGCCUCCACAUUAUUGAGAAAAGUGGUACGUACGGUUGGGAAAAUAAAAAAUUAGAAUAUGGGGGGUUGUUUUUAAAUUAGUAAAUAAAUAAAUUUUCUUUUACUCCAUAUUUAAAAAUAAUUUUUAUUCUUUAAAACAAAAAAAGUAGGGUUUGUUUGACAAUUAUUUUUUAAAAUAAUUUUUUGUUCUUAAAAUUAAAAAAAUAAAAAUAAGAAAAGACAUUUCAUAAAAAAAAUGAUGUUUAGGAUAAUAUUUUUAGUUGUUUUUACUUUUCUUUUUUAGGGAUAUUUAAAAAAAUAAUUAUAUAAAUGAUUAAAAAUAAACUAUUAAACACAAAAAAUUAUUUUUAAAAUAUAUUUAAAGAUAUUAAGAACAGGUUAAAAAACAUUUUAAGUUUUCCAACAUAUUUUUAUUUUAUAAAACAUUAAAGAAUUGCUUUCAAAAAAAAAUUUCAAAAUUUUUUUCCAAAACAUUUAUCAAGCAAGACCUUUGAUUUUUUAAAAAUAAUUAAUUUUUUUUUCUUAUUUUUCAUAGGGUAUUCUAAUAAUCAAGGAGACAAGGAUAAUGUAUAAAAAUCAUUUAGAGAAUAAAUUUUACUUCCUUUUUUUUAAAAAAAAAAUCAUCUUUUUAAAAAUAUAUGGAAUAAUGAGAUUUUCUAAAAUUGAGUUCCCAAAAAAAAUAAUUUUUUUUUAAAUAAUAGAAAACUGGGGUCAAGAUGAUUCUCAAAAUCUGAUUUUUGAAAACUACAAAAUUAAAGAAAAAUAAACAUGGUUGUACAAAUUAACCUUGGGCUUAUUAAUUUCUUAUGAGCAAAAUGUCUUAGUAACUAUUGCAAAAUUAAAAAUAAUUUCAACAAUUAAGGAGAAACACACAUUAAUUAAGGGUCUAUUUUGAUUAACUUUUGGAAAAAAAAACUCUUCAAUUAUCAAUAUUAUUCCUUGGAAAUUAUAAUUUAUUAAUUUCUUCAAAGAAAAAUGCAAAUAAUUAAGCCAAAAAAAAAAAACCAUCAAAUAAAGCUUAAAAGUCCAUGCAUGGACUUCUCAUCAUGGGAAACUUUUUGGUACUUUAUUUAAUUAAUAUACACUAUGGUCUAAAAUAGGUAGAUCUAUAAUUUGUAAUGAAGUGCAUUUUAAAAUUAAUUAAUAAAUUCAAAAGCUCUUGCAUGAAUUGGCUAAUAGAUCAAACUGUCACGUAUUGGAAAUGAAGUGAAUGGAGAACCCUUAGAGAUAAGCUGUUGAUAAAGUUGUAGAGUUAGUAAGGACCACAAACCCAAUGCUGGCCAACACUGGACCAUCACCUUCCAUUUUUAAGGACCACAGUAGCAAUUACUUUGUCAAUAUGCCUACUAUGAGUAUAAGAAACAAUUGAUAAGAUGAAUCAAGGAGACAACCAAGACAGUGAAGGUUCUGAGUGAGUACUCCAUGGGAAAAUCAAUUGGAAAAUUUUGAAAAUAUAUCUCAAUUUGAUUUUUCUCAUUAAUUAAUAGAUAUAUACCCAUUAAUAAAAUUCAUAUUUAUUUUCGACCUUGUAAUCUCGGGUUUUUGUAUCAAAGUCAAGAUAGGUUAAUACCUCGACUUAACAUGUUCUUUUUUUUUUCUUUUUCCUUUUUUUAUCCAUAAUAUCUUGUUCAAUUGUUAAUUUAAUCCAAAAUAAGUUACUAAUUUGAUACUAAUGAUUUAGCAAAUAUGUUUUAUCAAUUUAGAUUAAAUCUCAAUAACACUCCAUGAUUUUUAUCAAAGACAAUUUAGAGGAGUGGUGGUAUGGUUGAAUAUAGAAAAAAUAAUUUUAAAUAUAAAAUUUGAAUAUAAAUAAGCUGAGAAUUAACAUACAUUAGGAGAAAGAAAAUAAAUAAAAUGAUUGCUUUAAAAACAUAAAAUAAAUAAGAAAAUAAUUAAAUAAAAAUUGAGGUUUCAAAAGUAAAAUCAUUUUAAAGAUUGUGGCAUGCAUAAGACAAAAUUAUUUCAUAAAUUAUGAUUUUUUAUUUUUAAAAUAUAUGAUUCCACCUUAUUUUGAGACCUAUCUUGUAUGGGAUCAAUUUUCUUUUUCCAUUAAUUCUUAGUGAUUGGUUCAGAAACAAUUUUUGAAUAAACUAUUUAACUCUAUGAAUGAAUCCAACAAGAAAUUUUUAUUGGUUCUACCUCUAACUUUUUAUGAAUAGAAUGAAGCUUUUUAUCAAAGGAUUAGAAAAAAAUGGGUCUUCGGAUGGAAAUGAUUUGGAAUAUAUAUAAUUUGUUAAAAAAAAAAAUAUAUAUCUCACUAAUGUUUUGACUGGAAGCCUCACUCAAAAUCAGUCUCUCUAACAGAAUACACUAUGGGACAUGAAGCUUGUAAAAGAAAUUAAUAAAUGAACUCCUUCAACUAACUGCUUGAUUAAGGAGCUGGAAAUAUUAAUUAAAAGCACAAAUUUCAAUAGAACCUAGAGAGUAAGAUGCUAAAGAAAAAAAAAAGGGGGGGAAUUAAAAAAAGCAAAGAAGUAGAAGGACUUGUUCAACUUUGCAACUUUCACUUUAUUAAAUCAUAUUCCUUGUGUGCUUCUUCAGCUUUCACUGUGUCAAUAUUUCUCAUCACAUAUGUAUUGACCACUUUGUUUCAUCCAUUUACAUUCUAUAGGUUCCAUCACAGUUGAUGAUCUGGUCAAGCACCCCCCCUUCUCUCUCUCUCUCUCUAAAGUGGAAUACAAAAAGUAAAAAAGUGAAGUAUGAAAUGGUAACAUCAAUCCAUGAAAUAUCCCAAUGCCAAGGGAUGAGUGAAAGUGCCUCUUUUUAUAGAUUAAUUGAGAAAAUAUAAUUAAGGCUGACAUCGGAGGGUAGAAAGAGGUACACAUCCUUAGUGUAUGUAUGAUAAUGAGAAGAAGGAAGAAAAAUGUAGAAAUUAACUACUGAAAUCUGAGACUUGGGUCCAACUCUGGUGGAGUACAGUAUGUGGUGGACUGUAUACAAAACGUGUAUGAGGACAAAUUUGCUGGAAAAUGCUUUAAUGGCAACAUUUUUGUCUUGCAUUUGCCUUUUUAGAGGCUUUUCAUUCAUGUCCAGCUGAUCAGGUUCUGUCUAUUAUGGAUCAUUUCUCGUCAUUUUUUCUAUGUUAGAAUUUAGCUCUUGAUGCUUAUGAAGA